UCUCACAAUGAAGAAUGCGGAUCAACUUUGAUCUUCCAAAUUGAACCAACGGAUCCCACCUAAAAUUGUGCCAAAAUUAAGCUCAACCAAGCCAUUUUUCCAAAAUU
Molecule: small RNA, 107 nt
Filed under: Olea europaea subsp. europaea
Lineage: Eukaryota; Viridiplantae; Streptophyta; Magnoliopsida; Lamiales; Oleaceae
Source: RNAcentral